This 350-nucleotide ribosomal RNA is filed under the name uncultured bacterium. Its description in RNAcentral is "bacterial SSU rRNA". It matches the Rfam family "Bacterial small subunit ribosomal RNA", at positions 30 to 380 of the family's 1533-position model. The record is from RNAcentral.
AUUGAACGCUGGCGGCAUGCCUUACACAUGCAAGUCGAACGGCAGCACGGGGCAACCUGGUGGCGAGUGGCGAACGGGUGAGUAAUGCAUCGGAACGUGCCAUUGAGUGGGGGAUAACGUAGCGAAAGUUGCGCUAAUACCGCAUAUUCUGUGAGCAGGAAAGCAGGGGACCGCAAGGCCUUGCGCUCUUUGAGCGGCCGAUGUCAGAUUAGCUAGUUGGUGAGGUAACGGCUUACCAAGGCGACGAUCUGUAGCGGGUCUGAGAGGAUGAUCCGCCACACUGGAACUGAGACACGGUCCAGACUCCUACGGGAGGCAGCAGUGGGAAUUUGGUACGAAUAGGCGGCGAA